AGGGUGUAAACGCUGCGGGCUUGGUGUUGGGGGUCCUUAGUGGGCGCCCAGUGCCGGAGAGAAGUUGUUAAGCCUGCUGCUUGGGGAGUAUGUCCGCAAGGAUGAAACUUAAAGGAAUUGGCGGGGGAGCACCGCAACGGGAGGAGCGUGCGGUUCAAUUGGAUUCAACGCCGAAAAACUCACCAGGAGCGACGGAUAUAUGAAGGUCAAGCUGAUGACUUUACCUGAUUUCCGAGAGGUGGUGCAUGGCGUGUGACUGU
RNAcentral lists this ribosomal RNA (260 nucleotides) under uncultured archaeon. RNAcentral's name for it is "partial 16S ribosomal RNA". It matches the Rfam family "Archaeal small subunit ribosomal RNA", at positions 748 to 1008 of the family's 1478-position model. The record is from RNAcentral.